This 440-nucleotide ribosomal RNA is filed under the name uncultured bacterium. Its description in RNAcentral is "partial 16S ribosomal RNA". It matches the Rfam family "Bacterial small subunit ribosomal RNA", at positions 338 to 795 of the family's 1533-position model. The record is from RNAcentral.
CCUACGGGUGGCAGCAGUGGGGGAUAUUGCACAAUGGGGGGAACCCUGAUGCAGCGACGCCGCGUGGGUGAAGAAGCGCCUCGGCGCGUACAGCCCUGUCAGCAGGGAAGAAAAUGACGGUACCUGAAGAAGAAGCCCCGGAGAAUUACGUGCCAGCAGCCGCGGUAAUACGUAGGGGGCAAGCGUUAUCCGGAUGUACUGGGUGUAAAGGGGGCGGAGACGGCGAUGCAAGCCAGGAGUGAAAGCCCGGGGCUCAACACCGGGAUUGCUCUUGGAGCUGCGUGGCUGGAGUGCAGGAGGGGCAGGCGGAAUUCCGGGUGUAGCGGUGAAAUGCGUAGAUAUCAGGAGGAACACCGGUGGCGAAGGCGGCCUGCUGGACUGCAACUGACGUUGAGGCCCGAAAGCGUGGGGAGCAAACAGGAUUAGAUACCCGGGUAGUC